RNAcentral lists this non-coding RNA (26 nucleotides) under Cricetulus griseus (Chinese hamster). The record is from RNAcentral. Lineage: Eukaryota; Metazoa; Chordata; Mammalia; Rodentia; Cricetidae.
UUUACAAGGUUGGACCAAGAGGCUAU